This is a small nuclear RNA of Nycticebus coucang (slow loris), 112 nucleotides long. Lineage: Eukaryota; Metazoa; Chordata; Mammalia; Primates; Lorisidae. The record is from RefSeq and is a predicted model, not a curated record.
UUUUCUUUUGUCAAAAUCUGGAAAUAUUUAGCAAAUUGAAACAAUGCAGAGAAGAUUAGUGUGGCCUCUGUGGAAAGAUGACAUGCAAAUUUGUGAAGCGUUUCAGGGUUUU